This 721-nucleotide ribosomal RNA is filed under the name Pseudomonas aeruginosa. RNAcentral describes it as "bacterial SSU rRNA". It matches the Rfam family "Bacterial small subunit ribosomal RNA", at positions 29 to 745 of the family's 1533-position model. The record is from RNAcentral. Lineage: Bacteria; Pseudomonadati; Pseudomonadota; Gammaproteobacteria; Pseudomonadales; Pseudomonadaceae.
UGGGGGGGCCGAAGGCGGGCGAACCAUGCAGUCGAGCGGAUGAAGGGAGCUUGCUCCUGGAUUCAGCGGCGGACGGGUGAGUAAUGCCUAGGAAUCUGCCUGGUAGUGGGGGAUAACGUCCGGAAACGGGCGCUAAUACCGCAUACGUCCUGAGGGAGAAAGUGGGGGAUCUUCGGACCUCACGCUAUCAAAUGAGCCUAGGUCGGAUUAGCUAGUUGGUGGGGUAAAGGCCUACCAAGGCGACAAUCCGUAACUGGUCUGAGAGGAUGAUCAGUCACACUGGAACUGAAACACGGUCCAGACUCCUACGGGAGGCAGCAGUGGGGAAUAUUGGACAAUGGGCGAAAGCCUGAUCCAGCCAUGCCGCGUGUGUGAAGAAGGUCUUCGGAUUGUAAAGCACUUUAAGUUGGGAGGAAGGGCAGUAAGUUAAUACCUUGCUGUUUUGACGUUACCAACAGAAUAAGCACCGGCUAACUUCGUGCCAGCAGCCGCGGUAAUACGAAGGGUGCAAGCGUUAAUCGGAAUUACUGGGCGUAAAGCGCGCGUAGGUGGUUCAACAAGUUGGAUGUGAAAUCCCCGGGCUCAACCUGGGAACUGCAUCCAAAACUACUGAGCUAGAGUACGGUAGAGGGUGGUGGAAUUUCCUGUGUAGCGGUGAAAUGCGUAAAUGUAGGAAGGAACACCAGUGGCGAAGGGCGACCACCUGGACGUGAUACUGACG